RNAcentral lists this ribosomal RNA (270 nucleotides) under Porphyromonadaceae bacterium. RNAcentral's name for it is "partial 23S ribosomal RNA". It matches the Rfam family "Bacterial large subunit ribosomal RNA", at positions 1 to 275 of the family's 2925-position model. The record is from RNAcentral. Lineage: Bacteria; Pseudomonadati; Bacteroidota; Bacteroidia; Bacteroidales; Porphyromonadaceae.
AAUAGAAAGUAAUUAAGGGCGUAUGGCGGAUGCCUAGGCUCACGGAGGCGAUGAAGGACGUGAUAAGCUGCGAUAAGCUUCGGGUAGGUGCAAAUGACCUUUGAUCCGAGGAUUUCCGAAUGGGACAACCUGACUGUCUGAAGGACGGUCACCUAUAUAUUUUUUAUGGGAGCUAACGCAGGGAACUGAAACAUCUUAGUACCUGUAGGAAGAGAAAAUAAUUUAAUGAUUCCCCUAGUAGUGGCGAGCGAACGGGGAAGAGCCCAAACC